This 295-nucleotide unclassified non-coding RNA is filed under the name Hevea brasiliensis (rubber tree). Lineage: Eukaryota; Viridiplantae; Streptophyta; Magnoliopsida; Malpighiales; Euphorbiaceae. The record is from RNAcentral.
CAUAUGAAUCCUCCGAUGCUGUCAUUUCAGCGUCAACUCGCCCAGAACUCCCAAAUCCCUCAGAUUCACCAACAGUCUCAACAGCAUGCCUGUACUCAGGAAUAAAAUCAGAGGAAUGCCCUUUAGAGGUACUUCCUUGAUUUCCCCAUUGGUUGUGGAAGCCAACACUUCCUUGAUUCCUUCUGUCCAACAAACUCUAUAGGAACAGUUGGCGCCAUAAGAUUAACUCCCAAUAACUGCACAUGUCAACUUUGACAAUUAAGUUUUAUUCCUCAGCUCACUUUCAACAAAUAUG